Molecule: ribosomal RNA, 444 nt
Filed under: Triticum aestivum (bread wheat)
Lineage: Eukaryota; Viridiplantae; Streptophyta; Magnoliopsida; Poales; Poaceae
Description: partial small subunit ribosomal RNA
Source: RNAcentral
AUGUCCAAGAAAAGGAGACCAGUUAUGCUGAAUGCUAUGUUACAUUGGUUGCAUGGUGGAUACAAAACUUAUGCAGUGUCAGAUUCCAUGGUUACAACUACCGCGGAAGGGUGGUUUCCAGUUUUGCCCUACUGGAAAAGCCUUAUUAUAUAUGGUUAUAUGUUUGCACAGAUUCAAUGGGAGAUUGCAUGGUUGAUUGGUCCCUUACAAGCCAAUAUUAGCUCCUUCAAGGCAUACUCUAAUUCCUGUGGUUUUAAGUUGCAGCAAUGGAGGAUUGCUUGGUCGCUAAAUGAUGCAUUUUUACAGCAUGAACUUCUAUCUUGCUCUUGUGGAGCUGUUUCAUUCUCUGUUUCAGAACAAGUUCAAGGGAAAAUCACUUGGUCACUCUGCUAUGAUUUUUCUGUCCUCGACAACAUCUCAGUGUGGUUCUUAUGUAAGUGUUAA